GUGUUCUUUCGGGGAUUUUGUGUAAGUCAAAAUCGGUGGUAAUACUCCACGAGUCCAAAAAACACGAUAAGGUGGAAAUCCUUAAGCGACCGUACAGUCGGGAUGAAAGGAAGAAUGU
Molecule: non-coding RNA, 118 nt
Filed under: Candidatus Microgenomates bacterium
Lineage: Bacteria; Candidatus Microgenomatota
Description: Microgenomates Daviesbacteria FMN sequence
Rfam family: FMN riboswitch aptamer (RFN element)
About the family: The RFN element is a highly conserved domain that is found frequently in the 5'-untranslated regions of prokaryotic mRNAs that encode for flavin mononucleotide (FMN) biosynthesis and transport proteins.
Source: RNAcentral